UAAUACGGAGGGGGCAAGCGUUGUUCGGAUUUACUGGGCGUAAAGGGCGCGUAGGCGGUUUAGCAAGUCACUUGUGAAAUCUUUGGGCUUAACUCAAAGCGGCCAAGUGAUACUGCUAGACUAGAGUGCAGAAGGGGCAAUCGGAAUUCUUGGUGUAGCGGUGAAAUGCGUAGAUAUCAAGAGGAACACCUGAGGCGAAGGCGGAUUGCUGGGCUGACACUGACGCUGAGGCGCGAAAGCUAGGGUAGCAAACGGGAUUAGAUACCCCGGUAGUCCUAGCCUUAAACGAUGAAUGUUUGGUGUCUGGAGUUUAAGUCUCCGGGUGCCGUCGCUAACGCUUUUAACAUUCCGCCUGGGGAGUACGCACGCAAGUGUG
RNAcentral lists this ribosomal RNA (376 nucleotides) under uncultured bacterium. Its description in RNAcentral is "bacterial SSU rRNA". It matches the Rfam family "Bacterial small subunit ribosomal RNA", at positions 521 to 896 of the family's 1533-position model. The record is from RNAcentral.